This 271-nucleotide ribosomal RNA is filed under the name uncultured prokaryote. RNAcentral describes it as "partial 16S ribosomal RNA". It matches the Rfam family "Bacterial small subunit ribosomal RNA", at positions 505 to 776 of the family's 1533-position model. The record is from RNAcentral.
GUGUCAGCCGCCGCGGUAAUACGGAGGGUGCGAGCGUUAAUCGGAAUUACUGGGCGUAAAGCGUACGCAGGCGGUUUGUUAAGCGAGAUGUGAAAGCCCCGGGCUCAACCUGGGAACUGCAUUUCGAACUGGCAAACUAGAGUGUGAUAGAGGGUGGUAGAAUUUCAGGUGUAGCGGUGAAAUGCGUAGAGAUCUGAAGGAAUACCGAUGGCGAAGGCAGCCACCUGGGUCAACACUGACGCUCAUGUACAAAGCGUGGGGAGCAAACAGG